GACCUAGAUGGAUGAAGCAGCCACAUAGAAAGAGUGCUACUCAGUUGGGCUUUAUCGUCAAUGAAGACAUAAUAAAAAGAAGAUUUGUAUUUAUCAUAGAGGAGCUUUCUAUCCAAUAUAUAGAAGCCACUAAUGAUGUUCUCUGAGGCUGGAAGAGCACAUUGGCCUGCACAGCCAAUCCCAGAAAUGAUGGGUUCCUGCUGGAAAUGAUGACCCGUGUGCUGCACGCACGACAAGCCUUUGAGACAGAUGAUCUAGGCAUCUUCUGCUCCUGCUGAUGGGCUGCCACUUCUGGGAGCCAGGCUUUGGCCUUCAGUCCCCAGACAGACACUGAAGGGGGAUGCAGAGAGAAAGAGAGAGGAAGAACAAGCUGACCACCCAAAAUUAAUAGGUCUCAUGAAAUGGAGUGCCUACAGGGCACAGGUGUCAAAUUGGGAUGGGAUGGGGAGAGGGAAAGACAGAAGGAGGAAGGAGGAAGGUGGUGUGGAAGGGAGGAAGAAAGAGAAUAUGAGAGUUCAAGGGACAUGGAAGAUUAAUUGGAAGAGCAUACAUACUAAACCCAAAGCAAAUAUCCAAAUGUCACCAUGAGUAAUACAAGGGACUGAGGAAGAAAUUCCCUUGCGUGAGGCCGCACAAAGCUUGGCACUGGAGCUGCUGUGCCACCCCUCACACCUGGCCACUGCCGUCAACUCCCAGGGGGAGCAUUCUGGUCACCUGAGCUCCUGACUCAGAGUCUAACAAAGGCUCUUAGCUUUCACACCAUCCUGUAUUUGGGAGAUUGCCAUUUCUUUCCUUCAUUGCCCAGGAUGAGCAAGCUGCUGGCAUUUCUAUGUCAGCCACAGAAGCUGUGAUGAGGAGAGCAAGGAAAUGCAUGGAAAAGGACAGGUGAUUCCUGCACAGCUCCCUCCGGAGAUCUGCAGGCAGCAUUUCCCCCAGGAAUGUUCCUCUCUAGAACUCCAUCAUGUGAGCAUCACUUGCCUGUCCACUGGGUCAUGAGCCUUUCUUCUGCAGGCUUAGAUGCUUCUCGAAGAACCCCCUCUCUCCAGCCUGGCUCUCACGGUCCUUUUCCUGGGCUUCCAGAGCAACCCAGAUCUCUCUCUCCAUCAAAGGGCUGCCCACACUGCUUUGUGCUGACUCUAUGGGUCUCCUUCUUGGGCCUGAACCACUAGCCAGGAUGUAAGGAGAUGAAAGCCAGCAGAGUGGGUCACUACUGCAGGAAGCUGGGGAAGGUCAAAGGGCUUGCCUGGUGCAGAUACAGUCAGCUGUGUCUUGAAGGAAGGGUAGACUCCAGAUAAAGAGAACAUGGUGGCCAGCAUGUGACACAGAGAUGAACAGCAUGGAGAAAAAAUGAUGAUCUCUGGGAGCCUGAUGAAUAUCAGUAUGGCUGGAAUGGAAGUGCAGAGACAUGGCAGCCGGAUUGCAAAUGGCAACCUGAAGAGUUUUGACUUUAUCCUGUACAUAACAGUCCUCAAACCAGUGGGGGGGGGGGGUCCUCUAAAACCACUCUGAAGAGCACUGUCCACUACUCACCACUAGCCAUACGUGGCUAAAUACAUUUUAGUCUAACGUAAUUUAAAUUUAAAACAAACUAAAAAUGCACUACCUCAAUCACACGCAGCACAUUUUAAGGGCUCAGUAGCUACACGUGGGUAUGGGGCCAUGAGCCCAUGGUUUCUCCAUAUAGAACAGCACAAAGAGGAGUCUGGGCAGGGAGGGAUAAAGCAUAAGGAAGGUAAAAAAGUUAGAGGCCAGAGAUGUCAGGAAAUUGUCACACAGCUGACAGUGGAAGAGCUGGACUUGAAGCCUGAAUUUUGUCACUUUUCACCAAAAUGAUCUCUAGAUUUUUGUCUUUUCUCAACUUCCUGGAGCCAGUUGGCAAGGAAUCUCAUUUAUGGCCAGAUCCUAGCCCAGCGCUGCAUGAGAGGGGAUUCCAUGGAUGAUCCGGGGCUACACUGAGAUAACAUGGGUAUGAAUCCCAUUCUUUGUUCGGUCACUGCAGAACUCGGUGAAUUGCAUCAUCCCCUUCAUGCCUCAAUCUCCUCACUGCUUAGUGGAGAGGAUGCAUUAAUUUACAUCUGCAAACAUAAUAU
Molecule: long non-coding RNA, 2090 nt
Filed under: Vulpes vulpes (red fox)
Lineage: Eukaryota; Metazoa; Chordata; Mammalia; Carnivora; Canidae
Description: lncRNA (ENSVVUG00000010342.1)
Source: RNAcentral